AUACGGAGGAUGCAAGCGUUAUCCGGAUUUAUUGGGUUUAAAGGGUGCGUAGGCGGUUUGCUAAGCGGGAGGUGAAAUGCCGGCGCUCAACGUCGGAAGUGCCUCCCGAACUGGUGGACUGGAAUGACUCUGCCGUGGGAGGAAUGUGUAGUGUAGCGGUGAAAUGCUUAGAGAUUACACAGAACACCGAUUGCGAAGGCAUCUCACGAAGGGUUGAUUGACGCUGAGGCACGAAAGCGUGGGGAGCAAACAGGAUUAGAUACCCUGGUAGUCCACGCAGUAAACGAUGAUGGCUAACCGCUGGGCUUAUCAGUUCAGUGGCCAAGCGAAAGCGAUAAGCCAUCCACCUGGGGAGUACGACCGCAAGGUUGAAACUCAAAUUAAUUGACGGGG
This 393-nucleotide ribosomal RNA is filed under the name uncultured bacterium. Its description in RNAcentral is "partial 16S ribosomal RNA". It matches the Rfam family "Bacterial small subunit ribosomal RNA", at positions 523 to 918 of the family's 1533-position model. The record is from RNAcentral.